This 1002-nucleotide ribosomal RNA is filed under the name Triticum aestivum (bread wheat). Its description in RNAcentral is "partial small subunit ribosomal RNA". Lineage: Eukaryota; Viridiplantae; Streptophyta; Magnoliopsida; Poales; Poaceae. The record is from RNAcentral.
AUGUUCAAUAACAUUAACAGAUCUACUGCUCCUCUUCCCGACACUGGUCAGUGGCUUCUUCUAGCACUAAACGAGAGGCUUCCUCAAACUGUGGUUUAUCUAUUGAGAGCCCACAUCAUCACUCUACAUAGUUACUUGAUGUUGUUUAUCAUGUUGGGAUUCUCGAUUUUUGACUGCAUUGAAGGUCCUGGCCUUGGAAUAGGCACAAGGUAUAUGUUCGUUAUGGCGGUCGGGCGUUUUCUUUGGACCAUAACAUUUGUUUCUACCAUUCUUCCAUCCGUAAGGCCUUGGUGUGCUGCUGCUCGAUAUAAAAUACCUGAUCAUCCUCAUGCUUGGGCACAGAAGUAUUAUGUUCUGUAUGCUUCUAAUCCGCGUGCAAUCCGCAGGGUCAUACUAGUGGAUAUGCCAUAUGCCAGUGUUCAAAAUUACACUGAUCACUAUAGACCUGAUUGGGCACAUAUGAGCUUCCUAGUAGACAUAUUGAGGCCCUCUGCCGGAGAGGGGCCUUCGUGGUAUCAUUUGGUGAAUAAAGCCGGUGGUGGUUGCAAUGAUCUUAUAUAUAGUGGCCACAUGUUUGUUGCUGUCCUGACUGCUAUGGCAUGGACGGAAGCGUACGGGGGAUGGAUAUCAGGUGGGAUAUGGUUUCUAGUCCUGCACAGUGCCCAGAGGGAGAUACGGGAGCGUUACCAUUAUAGUGCCGACUGCAUUGUAGCAAUUUACGUUGGAAUCCUCUUGUGGCGGGUCACUGGGUUCAUCUGGUCCACCAGGGAUUCAGAUCAAGCUAGAAGACUCGCCAAACUCGAUGAGGUUCAGAACAGAUUAUUUCAUGCUGCAAAGGACUCGGACAUCGACGAAAUAAGGGGGCUGCUAAAUGAAGUUGAGAUGGCUGGACAGUCAAAGAGGACCUUCUCACAGGGUGUCAUCUUAUCCUUUGCUGCUUUUAUGAUUACAUUCACCCUCCUGUUUGUUCUCCUUGCAUUCUCACUUACUAGCAAUGGAUGA